GGACAGGUGGCCGAGUGGUCUAAGGCGAUCGCUUCAGGAGUUUGGUUCUGCGGUUGUACUCUGUACGCGUGGGUUCGAAUCCCACCCUGUUCA
Ascosphaera acerosa is the source of this 93-nucleotide non-coding RNA. Lineage: Eukaryota; Fungi; Ascomycota; Eurotiomycetes; Onygenales; Ascosphaeraceae. The record is from the annotation of a GenBank genome assembly.